RNAcentral lists this ribosomal RNA (303 nucleotides) under uncultured bacterium. RNAcentral's name for it is "bacterial SSU rRNA". It matches the Rfam family "Bacterial small subunit ribosomal RNA", at positions 355 to 674 of the family's 1533-position model. The record is from RNAcentral.
UGGGGAAUUUUGCGCAAUGGGGGAAACCCUGACGCAGCAACGCCGCGUGCGGGACGAAGGCCCUCGGGUUGUAAACCGCUUUCAGCAGGGAAGACUUUACGACGGUACCUGCAGAAGAAGCUCCGGCUAACUACGUGCCAGCAGCCGCGGUAAUACGUAGGGGGCGAGCGUUAUCCGGAUUCAUUGGGCGUAAAGCGCGCGUAGGCGGCCGCCUAAGCGGGACCUCUAACCCCGGGGCUCAACCCCGGGCCGGGUCCCGGACUGGGCGGCUCGAGUGCGGUAGAGGAGAGCGGAAUUCCCGGU